Vespa mandarinia (Asian giant hornet) is the source of this 3575-nucleotide long non-coding RNA. The record is from RefSeq and is a predicted model, not a curated record. NCBI's taxonomy places the organism in Eukaryota, Metazoa, Arthropoda, Insecta, Hymenoptera, Vespidae.
UCUCUCGCGCGCGCGUUCUCUCUCUCUCUCUCUUUCGCACGCUCGGUCACUCUAUGCGUGUAGGUGCUAUUGGGAUUGUCAUUGAGACCUGAAACGGAAGGGCAUCUGAGUCACGAGCUUUAUCGACUAACUGCGCAAAAAUGCCUCGAGCGAAAACAUCGCUAAUACACCGGCCACUCGACCAACCAAUCAACCGACCGACCGACCAUCGAACAAAUGCUGGGAACGUAUAUUUUGAUCACAUUAGCUUCCUCUCUCUUUAUUCCCGUUUGAACAUCAACUACCUUUGGAAUAUCACACUUUGUCGCCACACCCACAUCUUUCUUCGUUUCUUUGCAUCUCUCUCUCUCUCUCUUCCUCCCUUCACUCACUCCCUCCCUCCCUCUUCCUCAUCUCUAUUAGACACCAAGAGACACUUAUAAAAAGAACGACGCGUAUGCAGGGGGUAAACAAGACAUUUGUUAUCUAUAAAUACGCAAGGAGCUUAUAUAUGUACAGGUGCCAGCCGUCACUGUAGCAUUUGUUUGAGCGAUCUUUAUAAGAGAAAUGAGAGAAGAAAACGGGAGAGAGAAUGACACUUUGAUCUUGAUAUUUUUACACAAUAAGACACGAGACAGUUAAUGUGAUAAUUAAUCGAGAUCAGGAAAUUGGAGAGGCUUGUUACGAACCGAAAUUACAGAGAACGAUUAUAGUGUAACUUAACAGUACUGCGAACGAGAUUAGAAGGCUAGACAGGGUAUAGUAUACGGUAGACAGGACGGCAGACUGCAAAGCAAAGGGUUAAGUAAGUGAUGCACCCCAUUCAACUCACUGUUUCUUUCUCUUUUUCUUUUUCUCCGUCUAUUGCUCUAUCUAUCUCUAUUUCACAUUACGGCGAUAACGAUUAUCUACAUUAGAAGACCGUCCAAGGCAGUUACGACGAAAAGACGUGUAGGAGAUCUCGUAUACACAAUGCUACUGGCAAAGUCGAUUAUGGUGAAUCGUUGAAGCAAUUCACGGAAUCACGACUUGCUAACUAAUGUGUCCGAUGAUAUAACGAAUUACGAGAGAGUAUCCGCAACAUCAACAAGUAGUAAUAGCUCGAACGAACUCUUCCAUUAUCUUAUUAAAUCCACUAAAGAAAGAGAAAUAGAAAAAGAAAGAGAGAGAGAGAGAGAGAGAGAGAGAGAGAGAGAAAAUAUCGAUAUUUUCUCGACUCGGGAAACUUUCUCACGUCAGUUUUAUAUACGAUGCACACCAAGUGUAAAAUGCGACGUAGACGGACAUGUAAUCGGACGAUCUCGUUCAACGGGAGAUGAAAAAUUCCCGUAAAUAAUAUCUACGUGUCUCUGAUAGCUAAGAAUACGCUGUCAACAUAUACGUUCCACGAAAUGACACGGGUGAGAUUUUAUUUUCAAUAUGAAAAAAGUAAAUUAAAUUGUGUACAAGCGAGUGCUGUUCUUAGAUAUCCUUUCUCCUUUCUCCUUCGUUCGGUUUUCCUUCCGUUCUCAGAUUUCGUAAGUAAUCACAUAGUGCGGUUCUGUAAUUAUUUUCGAAAUCGAAUGGAUAACAAUCGUUUCUUGAGUUUAUUGGUCAUCAAUAAUCGAUAAGACCGGGAGUAGUAUCUUGAAGGAUUAAAAGUUUUUUGAUAUUGAUCCAUUGUUUCGUGACUGUUCUUUUAACAAGCACUUACCUUUUUCAAAUGUAGUACAUUCCAUUUACUUUCGUCUUCAAUUUCUAGUCGAAUUUAUUUUACGAUUCUAUAUAAACGUACAUUAAAAGGACAGCGAACGUAUUAAAGAGAAAGGAGGAUUGACCCUCGAAAGAUGGUUCCGUCUUUGACGUCUCACCAUGUCCUUGAACGACGCGGAUGGGAUUCCUCGAUUCGCUUCACGAAUUACUAGAGACGUGAAGAUCCUUCCAAGGAAGCUAUGAAGGAACGUUAGCAGCUGCCACAUGCGAUUGCAUGCGAUAAAGUGAAGAAAAUGAGAUGGAUAAGGAGAAGGGGAAGUGAGAGAGAGAGAGAGAGAGAGAGAGAGAGAGAGAGAGAGAGAGAGAAUUAUUUGACUUUGAAAUGUCGAGCUAUCUGACUAUGCAGAAACAUACGAAUAUCUUCGUGGAUCAGUUCUAAUAAACUUAAAAAUGAUAAUGAAUGAAGGAUCUGAUGUGUUUUCGGUCACAAAUUGUUAAAACAUUAAUUGUUACAAUGACGUUUGAAAUAUGAAUAUAAAUUAAAAUUAACUGACAGAAAGGAAAAAGAUUAAGGGUUGUAAAAAAAAAAAAGGAAAGAAAAAAAGAUUUGCUUUUCUACAUUUCGAAAUGACGCAGAAUAAGAGUCGUUUCUACCGAGAAGAAUCUGGGGACCGGUUCUUACGGCAGGUUUUUACCUCUACUAUUAAUAAACGUUAUAAGUACAUACAACAGACAAUGAACGAGGAAAGAGGAUAAAAAUUUGGUGUAUGUCACGCUAUUCGUUCAUUCGUUUGCUCAUCUCUACGUGUAUCGCAUUGCAAGGCAAAAAUUUAUUCGCAUUAUGGUCUUAGUUCUCACGUGCAUUUAUGCGCCAAUUUUAAUUAUAUGCUAAUAAAGAUCAUUCCUACUGCAAGAAACGACAACUCGAUUCGUUAAUUAAACCAGAAAUGGCAUUAAAAAAAAACAUGAGUCCCCUUUCUCCCAUCACAUCUUUAUCUUGAUGCUAAACUCGAUUACGAUUUUUCAUCUAUUUCAUGAAAUAAAUCUGCUAUAAUAAAUAUAGGUGUAUCUACGAGAAAAAAGAAAAAGGACCAACAUUUUCCCGUAGGAUAUAAACACUCGGAAAGGAAAGUACUGUAUUCUAUGAAAGUAGAUAAAUAAUCACGCUAUAUUAUCUCAAUAUUUCAGACACGAUCAUGAGGCUCCGGAGUAAUACUUCGUUCAUGAUUAAUUAACCCUUUGAAUCGUUCCAACACGAAUCGGGUCACGUUGAAACGUUAGCAAACAGGAGCAAUCUCACUUCUUUCCUUUGGCAAGAAAAAAAAAAAAAAAAAAAAAAAAAAAAUUUCUAAAAUAAAAUUUACUCAUCUCCUUAUUUUCUAAUAUCAAACUUUCUAUUCUCUUCCUGUUUAUUUUAGCGCAAUAUGUAUUUCACCCUUGAUCUCGAUCAAAAUUCGAUUGAAAAAAGUUUCGAUUGAAAGAAAUUUAUCUGAAAGUUUUCCUGCAACUAAUAUUAAGGAGGUGACUGUUCACCGUGACACGUGUAUGUGUUUUACCUUGACGCGUAUCUUUCUUUCAUUAUCGCGACUUUCCCCUACUUCUUUUCGUAUAAAUCUAACAAUCGUGCGACAAGGCAAUACGUGUAUCAUAUUAAAAGAUUUCGAGUUUAUACAUUAAUCUUUCACCAAACAUAGAUUUCAAACGAUAAAUCUCUUUCUAUACGAGUAUUUCCAAAGAAAAUACAAAUUCCUUAUAGCAAAAGCUUUUAAUUGCUACGUCCGCAAUGAUGAAAUUAUACUGACCGAGUAAACAACAAACGUAUGUUCGAAAGAUAAAAUUCUUAUCACUUAAUUCUCUCAUUCCAUUUCUUAUAACAAAAAAAGAAAAACAAUAAAAAAAGGAAU